This 504-nucleotide ribosomal RNA is filed under the name uncultured bacterium. RNAcentral's name for it is "partial 16S ribosomal RNA". It matches the Rfam family "Bacterial small subunit ribosomal RNA", at positions 28 to 506 of the family's 1533-position model. The record is from RNAcentral.
GACGAACGCUGGCGGCGUGCCUAAUACAUGCAAGUAGAACGCACAGUUUAUACCGUAGCUUGCUACACCAUAGACUGUGAGUUGCGAACGGGUGAGUAACGCGUAGGUAACCUGCCUGGUAGCGGGGGAUAACUAUUGGAAACGAUAGCUAAUACCGCAUAAUAUUAAUUAUUGCAUGAUAAUUAAUUGAAAGGUGCAAUUGCACCACUACCAGAUGGACCUGCGUUGUAUUAGCUAGUAGGUGAGGUAACGGCUCACCUAGGCGACGAUACAUAGCCGACCUGAGAGGGUGAUCGGCCACACUGGGACUGAGACACGGCCCAGACUCCUACGGGAGGCAGCAGUAGGGAAUCUUCGGCAAUGGACGAAAGUCUGACCGAGCAACGCCGCGUGAGUGAAGAAGGUUUUCGGAUCGUAAAGCUCUGUUGUAAGAGAAGAACGGGUGUGAGAGUGGAAAGUUCACACUGUGACGGGAUCGUACCAGAAAGGGACGGCGAACUACGU